RNAcentral lists this ribosomal RNA (195 nucleotides) under uncultured Gammaproteobacteria bacterium. Its description in RNAcentral is "partial 16S ribosomal RNA". It matches the Rfam family "Bacterial small subunit ribosomal RNA", at positions 338 to 525 of the family's 1533-position model. Lineage: Bacteria; Pseudomonadati; Pseudomonadota; Gammaproteobacteria. The record is from RNAcentral.
CCUACGGGAGGCAGCAGUGGGGAAUAUUGCACAAUGGGCGCAAGCCUGAUGCAGCCAUGCCGCGUGUGUGAAGAAGGCCUUCGGGUUGUAAAGCACUUUCAGUCAAGAGGAAAGGUUAGUAGUUAAUACCUGCUAGCUGUGACGUUACUGACAGAAGAAGCACCGGCUAACUCCGUGCCAGCAGCCGCGGUAAUA